AUGAACGCUGGCGGCGUGCUUAACACAUGCAAGUCGAACGAUGAACCCCGCUUGCGGGGGGAUUAGUGGCGAACGGGUGAGUAACACGUGAGUAACCUGCCCUUAACUCUGGGAUAAGCCUUGGAAACGGGGUCUAAUACUGGAUAUUGACUUUACCUCGCAUGGGGUUUGGUUGAAAGAUUUAUUGGUUUUGGAUGGACUCGCGGCCUAUCAGCUUGUUGGUGAGGUAAUGGCUCACCAAGGCGACGACGGGUAGCCGGCCUGAGAGGGUGACCGGCCACACUGGGACUGAGACACGGCCCAGACUCCUACGGGAGGCAGCAGUGGGGAAUAUUGCACAAUGGGCGAAAGCCUGAUGCAGCGACGCCGCGUGAGGGAUGACGGCCUUCGGGUUGUAAACCUCUUUCAGUAGGGAACAAGGCCAGUGUUUAGCUGGUUGAGGGUACUUGCAGAAGAAGCGCCGGCUAACUACGU
RNAcentral lists this ribosomal RNA (474 nucleotides) under uncultured bacterium. RNAcentral describes it as "bacterial SSU rRNA". It matches the Rfam family "Bacterial small subunit ribosomal RNA", at positions 29 to 506 of the family's 1533-position model. The record is from RNAcentral.